CCUGGUGGCUGAGGUUAAAGCAUCUGCCUGCAAUCCAGGAGACCUGGGUUCAAUCCCUGGAUCAGGA
RNAcentral lists this transfer RNA (67 nucleotides) under Bos taurus (domestic cattle). It matches the Rfam family "tRNA". Rfam says of the family: Transfer RNA (tRNA) molecules are approximately 80 nucleotides in length. Their secondary structure includes four short double-helical elements and three loops (D, anti-codon, and T loops). Further hydrogen bonds mediate the characteristic L-shaped molecular structure. tRNAs have two regions of fundamental functional importance: the anti-codon, which is responsible for specific mRNA codon recognition, and the 3' end, to which the tRNAs corresponding amino acid is attached (by aminoacyl-tRNA synthetases). tRNAs cope with the degeneracy of the genetic code in two manners: having more than one tRNA (with a specific anti-codon) for a particular amino acid; and 'wobble' base-pairing, i.e. permitting non-standard base-pairing at the 3rd anti-codon position. RNAcentral also lists the same sequence under 5 other names. Lineage: Eukaryota; Metazoa; Chordata; Mammalia; Artiodactyla; Bovidae. The record is from Rfam by way of RNAcentral.